GGCCUGUUGGUCUAGGGGUAUGAUUCUCGCUUCGGGUGCGAGAGGUCCCGGGUUCAAAUCCCGGACAGGCCC
Dendroctonus ponderosae (mountain pine beetle) is the source of this 72-nucleotide non-coding RNA. NCBI's taxonomy places the organism in Eukaryota, Metazoa, Arthropoda, Insecta, Coleoptera, Curculionidae. The record is from Rfam.